GGAGGAGUCUUUUGGCUAGUUUUGAGUGAAAUCCAAUCGCUAAAACCACCAACACUCCAUUUUAUGAACGAACUUCGUACGAACUUGAAUUGUCCGAUUUCUUGGUUCAAUCGAUAUCGGAUAGAGCCCAACACGUGGCAGCAUCAUAAUAUGGUGGGAGGAGUCAUUUGGUGAGUUUUGAGUGAAAUCAAAUGGCUAAACCUAUGCAAUACACCAAUCACUCCAUUUCAUAACGAACUU
This 240-nucleotide long non-coding RNA is filed under the name Prunus persica (peach). RNAcentral describes it as "long non-coding RNA (PPER_LNC004644)". The record is from RNAcentral. Lineage: Eukaryota; Viridiplantae; Streptophyta; Magnoliopsida; Rosales; Rosaceae.